AUGACAUCUUGGCUUCACUGUGUUUUACUUUUAGUGUUAUUUGAAGGUGUACAGUCAGAAAUCCAGCUCACAGAAUCAGGAGGAGAUAUUAAAACGCCUGGAGGGUCUCUCCGCCUCUCCUGCAGAGCCUCUGGGUUCACCUUCAGCAGCUAUUACAUGCACUGGGUGAGACAAGCACCAGGAAAAGGCUUGGAAUGGGUGGCACAAAUAUCUGGUGCUUCAGCUGACAUUCGCUACUUGGAUAAAGUGAAGGGGCGCUUCACCAUUUCCAGGGACAAUUCAAACAGCCUGCUCUAUCUGCAAAUGAACAACCUGGCAGCAGAAGACACAGCGGUGUAUUACUGUGCAAGAGACACAGUGAGAGGCUUCCUAUUAGACCUUAGACAAAAACCCUUCAUUGCAUUUCUUAAGUGA
Podarcis raffonei (Aeolian wall lizard) is the source of this 414-nucleotide non-coding RNA. Lineage: Eukaryota; Metazoa; Chordata; Lepidosauria; Squamata; Lacertidae. The record is from the annotation of a RefSeq genome assembly.